Molecule: transfer RNA, 62 nt
Filed under: Ectenagena elongata
Lineage: Eukaryota; Metazoa; Mollusca; Bivalvia; Venerida; Vesicomyidae
Description: tRNA-Cys
Source: RNAcentral
GGCCUUGUAACUUAGUAAAGUUCUAAAUUGCAGUCUUAGAAAAGGAGUUGUUCCCCUGGUCU